Molecule: long non-coding RNA, 248 nt
Filed under: Gossypium barbadense (sea-island cotton)
Lineage: Eukaryota; Viridiplantae; Streptophyta; Magnoliopsida; Malvales; Malvaceae
Description: long non-coding RNA (GBAR_LNC004118)
Source: RNAcentral
UUUCAGUGGCAUGCAAUGCAUGCGUCCAAUAAACACAGUGAGACUUAGUGGCAUGCUUAUUCAUGCAUUAAAUAAAAAAUAACAUAUAAUACCACACAGAAAACAAACAUUUAGUAUUUUCUUUCGGCAGUUACAUAUUUAUUUAAUCACAAUAAGGCUCUUAUUUGUUCGACAAUUACCCAUUAGUACUUACCUUAACCGACAACCCCUAAACCAACUCAAGGUCAUUCCACCAAGCACAAAUCAAC